ACCUCUUUUUGCAGGGAAGAAGCGAAAGUGACGGUACCUGCAGAAAAAGCACCGGCUAACUACGUGCCAGCAGCCGCGGUAAUACGUAGGGUGCAAGCGUUGUCCGGAAUUAUUGGGCGUAAAGAGCUCGUAGGCGGUUUGUCGCGUCUGCUGUGAAAUCCCGAGGCUCAACCUCGGGUCUGCAGUGGGUACGGGCAGACUAGAGUGCGGUAGGGGAGAUUGGAAUUCCUGGUGUAGCGGUGGAAUGCGCAGAUAUCAGGAGGAACACCGAUGGCGAAGGCAGAUCUCUGGGCCGCUACUGACGCUGAGGAGCGAAAGGGUGGGGAGCAAACAGGCUUAGAUACCCUGGUAGUCCACCCCGUAAACGUUGGGCGCUAGAUGUGGGGACCAUUCCACGGUUUCCGUGUCGUAGCUAACGCAUUAAGCGCCCCGCCUGGGGAGUACGGCCGCAAGGCUAAAACUCAAAGGAAUUGACGGGGGCCCGCACAAGCGGCGGAGCAUGCGGAUUAAUUCGAUGCAACGCGAAGAACCUUACCAAGGCUUGACAUAUACGAGAACGGGCCAGAAAUGGUCAACUCUUUG
Molecule: ribosomal RNA, 582 nt
Filed under: Plantibacter sp. Ri3Pw_6183
Lineage: Bacteria; Bacillati; Actinomycetota; Actinomycetes; Micrococcales; Microbacteriaceae
Description: bacterial SSU rRNA
Rfam family: Bacterial small subunit ribosomal RNA
Source: RNAcentral